GUUCCACCAAAGAAAGAUAAGGAUUGCCUUUAUCACCUCCUCUUCUUUGCCUUUAAUAGCUCCUUUCAGUUCUGCCUGAGAUUCAUUCUGCCUACAGUCUUCUUGUGAGAUGCAUGACAUCACUAGGAAAUGUUAUAUCCAGAGGCAAUUCAUACUUUUUCCACUCUUGUAUUUCUUUCCUCUCCAGCUGUGACCCUUGCAAUUAGGUGAAGGUAGAGCUGCUGGGGGAUCAGGUAGGAGGAUUGAGAAACCCUGUGGAGAAAGCAAGUAAUUAUCCAUGUGUGCCAAAAUGACAAAGGUGAUCAGAGUUCUGAGCACUGAGGAAGAGCAUCUAUCCCUGAUGUCACCUAGCUCUGAUUUCACAUUCUGGCUAUUCCUGUAUUUGCUGUAAUUGGAAGAAACAUGUAACUUUUUCAAUAUUUUCUUGUGAAAGAUGAUCUUGAUGCAGAUACAUCUCAAAAGUUGGAGUGUAUGAUGCCUCUUGAUCAACUGCUGGGACUGCCUUUGUACCUGGAUAUUUACAGUCAGUCUCUAUCCAGGGAAUAUAGCAACAAAAUCUUUCCAUGAGAGGGGCUAC
This 577-nucleotide long non-coding RNA is filed under the name Coturnix japonica (Japanese quail). Its description in RNAcentral is "lncRNA (ENSCJPG00005009026.1)". Lineage: Eukaryota; Metazoa; Chordata; Aves; Galliformes; Phasianidae. The record is from RNAcentral.